GAUGAAGAACGUAGCGAAAUGCGAUACUUGGUGUGAAUUGCAGAAUCCCGUGAACCAUCGAGUCUUUGAACGCAAGUUGCGCCCGAAGCCAUUAGGCCGAGGGCACGCCUGCCUGGGCGUCACACGUCGUUGCCCCCCCAUCUACUCCUUCGGGAUUGCGGGGGGCGGAUGAUGGCCUCUCGUGCGCCUCGUCGCGCGGUUGGCCGAAAUGCCAAGUCCUCGGCGACGCACGCCACGACAAUCGGUGGUUGCGAAACCUCGGUUGCCUGUCGUGUGCGGUCGUCGCGCAUCGAGGGCUCGAAAAAAUUGCCGGGCUUCGGCUCGACUUUCAACGCGACCCCAGGUCAGGCGGGGUUACCCGCUGAAUUUAAGCAUAUCAAUAAGCGGAGGA
RNAcentral lists this unclassified non-coding RNA (391 nucleotides) under soil metagenome. Its description in RNAcentral is "partial contains 5.8S ribosomal RNA, internal transcribed spacer 2, and large subunit ribosomal RNA". The stretch from base 1 to 122 matches the Rfam family "5.8S ribosomal RNA", at positions 35 to 154 of the family's 154-position model. The record is from RNAcentral.